CUUUCUUCCUUUUGGUGCGAGCUUGCUGUGGUUUUUGCUCUGGGUCCUCUGGGAUGGCGCCUGGCUGUGGCCGCGUGGUCUCUCACGCAGGGGCGCCGGGCGGGGGAACGCGGCCACCCUGAGUCUGGUGAGUCGACUGCGGCGGCCUGUGUCCGAAGUGUCCGGGGCCGUGAACAAGGGCAGCGGCCUGGCCUCAGGCCUGCGUUCCCACGUUUGGAAACGGGGAGCUUCGUCGAUUUGUGUUUACAUCAUCGACUAUGCCAGGGAGUUCUCCAGAUAAGCCUGGUUUUAUUUUCGUCAGUGAAAAGGCCUUACCGUAUAACUGACUUUAUGCUUGCCCUGCCCCCGUAUAAAAUAACUUAAAAGCAGCGUGCCUGGUUACAGCUGUUUCCACGUGCGGUGCUCGUCGGGAGUGAUCACCUACCCUACAGGUGGAAGAUGGAUGCCUGAAGUGUAGACUGCUGCUAGCUGAAUACCAUCUGGGAGCAUAAAGGUGACCUGAAGGUAGGGUGAUAUGUCUUAAAGCACUUUGUAAUGGGAAUUUUUAUCACCUUUUAAAUUGGGGUUCCUUCUCUAGUGAGUUUUAAUGUCAGUGGUACAUUCGUAGUGUUGCUCUGUCUGUAGCUAUUAAGGUGAGUUAAUAAAUGGGAUAGCCUCCACAGCUUAUUUUUGGGAAGGUUUUGCUGAUACUUCCUGAGAAGCCCAGGGAAAUAAAUACGCAUAGUACUGGCAUUCUGCAUCUCUUUAAGAUUUGUUUUUAUGUGUAGUAAUUGAGUUUUUUAAAAGCUUGUGAAAUCGCAGGCAUAUUACCAAGUUCUUGAUUAAAAUGUAAUACAAAAAUAUUUGCUGUCGAAUUGAGUACUUUAUUUUUUCUCUUAGGAUGUCCUUGGUGAGGAUUUUGAAAAUUUGAUCUUCACAAGAGUUGCCUGGAUCAUUUGAAAUUUCUGGGAGUCUGAGGAGUACUGACAUAAUUACCUGCUGGAGUCUGUAAAUACACAUUUAAGACAGUGAGGAUGUGAAUAAAUAUAUUAAUG
RNAcentral lists this long non-coding RNA (1034 nucleotides) under Homo sapiens (human). Its description in RNAcentral is "HSALNT0328843". The record is from RNAcentral. Lineage: Eukaryota; Metazoa; Chordata; Mammalia; Primates; Hominidae.